RNAcentral lists this ribosomal RNA (253 nucleotides) under uncultured bacterium. RNAcentral describes it as "partial 16S ribosomal RNA". It matches the Rfam family "Bacterial small subunit ribosomal RNA", at positions 524 to 776 of the family's 1533-position model. The record is from RNAcentral.
UACAGAGGUCUCAAGCGUUGUUCGGAUUCAUUGGGCGUAAAGGGCGCGCAGGCGGCCGCAUUUGUCAGGCGUGAAAGCCCCGGGCUUAACCUGGGAACUGCGUUUGAUACGGUGUGGCUAGAGUUCGGGAGAGGAGAGUGGAAUUCCCAGUGUAGAGGUGAAAUGCGUAGAUAUCGGAAGGAACACCAGUGGCGAAAGCGGCUCCCUGGUCCAGCACCGACGUUCAGGCACGAAAGCGUGGGGAGCAAACAGG